UCUCUCGCCUUCCCUUGUUUUGCUUCGUCUUUUCACUCUUUUCUGUGCUCGGUUUAGGUGCGUUGCUUGUAGAGUUACUAGGUCUUCCAGUAAGAAUGGAUUUGAGUUUGUUAUUUGACAUACUGCAUCCGUACUUGCACCAGAGGUGUUUGAGAAAUUGCCAACUACUAAUCUUUUUGGACUCUAUUAGGGCGCUCUUAAAUCCAGAUUGUCUGAUCAAAAAUAGCUUUGAAUAUGAUGGGCAACUUCCCAUUAAAGAGGAUGGAACAUGAAGAUAACGGAAAAAAUUCUGGUAUUGCAGAGGACAGGCUGCUGUUACGUUAGUAGAUUAAAAUUAUGCUCUAACUGGUUUUGUAUGAAAAUUAACUCCCAAGGAAAAGAUGGAAAAAAUGAUAGCUGGUGCACUAACAGAGUUUUUUCUCUACAUGGUCAUCAACAUUUGUUCUUGCAUUUAACCCUCAUAUCCCUCCACUUCACUCUCCUAUUUAUCUGUUGUAAGUUCAAUUCUAGAAAAAGAGUUUCCCUAUUGAGCUUUUAGAUUUCCUUUUAGUCUUCAAUAUGUUGCAAUAAAUUGAAGUGAUUAUGUUUCUUAUUUUAUUUUUGAAUUCAUGAAGCAUUAUUAUUACUACAGUAAGAAAGUUUUUGCAGCAAAGUGUAAACAAGAAAUUUUAUGAAAGUAGCUUAUAAAGUAGAAACUUUGGAGGAAAUUGACAAAAAUAUAUGCCCUCUACUUAGACAUUAAUUAACUUUUCAUUUCUAAUUUGGCUCGAUUACUCAGAAAAAUCAAGAACCUGCUGCUAGAGAGUGAAAGAUAUCACUGAAAGUUUCCUCAAUGAACUAAUAAUAUAUGAGGGAACUUAAAGAGAAGCAGGCACUCCAAUUCUUUAAUGCAGAAAGGAAGGUCAAGAAAGACAAAGAGGCCAAGAAAGAUCCUGAUAAGCUUAACAGGCCUACCAGUGCCUUCUUCAUAUUCCUCUAGGCUUUGUUUUCUUAUAAUAAGUUUAGAUUCAGUGGUGUAUUAUAGUUGUGUGAUGUAACCGACAAAUGGUCAUGUAUGCUACCGCAAUUAGGAAUUCAGGAAGACAUUUAAAAAGGAAAAUCCCAAUGUGAAUUUGUGGGAAAGUAAAAGUUCAAGUUUAGAGCUUCAAGUUAUUGAUUAUUUGAGUUGGUGUCUGGAAAUUUGCAUUCUGAAGGCCUCUUUCCCAUUGGUUUGAAGAUUUGCAGACUUCUUAUUAUAGUUAUGAUAGUUUAAAUAUUCCAACUUCUGCAGCAUCACUGCUCUGCAAAUAGUGGCUUAGCGAGUAAGAUACAAUCAAGAUUCUUCUGUGGUUUUUUUUAACAUCAGCUUCAGUAGAUUAAGCUCCGAAAUAAAUGACUUCUUAAGAAAGGUAAGACGGACUACAUUGCAUCCAUAAUUACUUCUAUGACAGUAGAUUAGAUUUGGUACAAGUAUAUAUAUUUUAAUAUUCACAACUAUAUUUUUAAUGUUUUUUCUUUUAGUUCAGGGUAUAGUGAAACUAAAUUGUGAACCUUCGAUCUCUAAUUUUGCAACAGAGGAAUGGCAGUGGCUCCUCUCAACCCCUUCUUCUCUGAGGAAUUUCUGGGCAAGAAUUUAUUAACUGCUUUUGGUGUGCAAUACAACCAGUGCGUCUUACGACAUUCUAUUUUACCAUUCUCUGGGUGUAAAUCAUGUGGGAAUAUAAUGGGCAAUGUCACAUUGCAUAUGUCGAACUAUUUGCUAUUAGCAUUAGCAUGUAUGCCUAAUCAUUUGAAUAGUAAUAAAUAGCAGGUACGCCCAAUGCCUUUCUAAUCAAGGUUAGAAAGGUUAACAAAGUUUCAAUGGUGUGCAUAUCUCCAGUUGCAUGUUCUUAUAUAUAUGAUAAGUUGCAUAAAUGGUUAGUUCCUUUCCACUUUAACUGGACCUUUGUGCUUUACCUUUAUUGCAUCUUCUCAUUUUUUCCUAAGCAUAAAAUUUAUCCUUUCUGUUCCUUUUCUCUAUUAUGCCUUUGCAGUUUUUCACCUCAUUUUUCUGGAAAGUCUUUCACAUGAUGGUAGCAGCUUCAUAUGUGAAAUGCCUUUUCAAAAUUUACCUUUUGUGUGUAGUCAUAUUAGUGAUCUUCUUACAGAAUCUUAUAUAAGCAGAAGUAAAGAUAAAGUUGCUUUCACACUCUGUUGCUAAAAAUUAAUUUAUUUUCCCUUAACCUUGAUCCACAUCAGAAGCAUAAAUAUACUUGCACAAAUUCAUCUGUGGUGCUUUCCAAAGAAAUCUUCUUUCCGGCAUGCAGGAGUUCCAUGGAGCUCUUAAAAGGACUCAAAAGUCUAAAAGCUAUUAACUUCCAUUUAGCUAUGCUGUAGGAGUGAGAUCACAUUAGUUCCAUUAGACUGCAUUGCAGCAAUGCUUGUUAUGGACGGGGUUCUAAUUUGUUUCUGGUCUCAGCUCUCAAUUUCAGGUGAUCGAGGUAUCCUUCAUGAAGAAAAUUCAUGGUCAUUCAUGUUCAGAAAAUUCAGGCAGUAAAACUGGUGUGUCCGUUAUAUUCACCAGAUUUUGUUAUUUGGUAUAGUCGAGGUGCAUGUACAAACCCCAAGCAGCAUGAGAUGAAGAAUUUGCCAGAAAGUGAUGAUGUUUUUUCUGAUGUAGAGUGAUCUUCGCAGCCAAGGUCUGUCCUUCCUUUUUUUUUUUUUGGGUGUUAUCUUAUCACUUUCUCUCAAGCAAGACAAUUAUUGGACAAACAUAUUGAUAUAGACACUUUCGGAGAACAACAAUUGCCCGGUCAAGGUCCAUGUGGUAAGAAAUUGUUGAUUGUGCUACACAAACCAAGAUAUUUUUGCAUUACGUUCUAACAUAUAGUUGUUCUUUUAAACAUCAGGCAGUUGCAUAUUGUGUAUCCUUAUUUUAGGGACGGUAAAUUCUUACAAUUAUCAGCCCUACUGUCUUCUUGAUAGGGCUUGCAAUGUCAGUUGCUCUUGUGGCGUCGUUGCAACUUUAUACAAAUUUUGCGCGAUUCUUCUUAGUUAUAACCCAAUCAAGAAGGUAUCUUAAGUCAGAGACCGAGAAAUCUCAAACUCCUCAUUCUUGAAAGUCAUAUGUACAAUUUUCACUCCAGUUCAUCACUUUGCAAGAUGAUAUGCAUCAACCACUUUAUUUACCUAGAAACAGGGGCGCCUUUUCUUCGGCCUGCAAAGUGUCCUUUUUAUGAAUAAGUUGAGACUUGAAAGUUGAAUGUAAAUUACUCUGGACUGCAUGGACUGCAUUAGAACUUCAUACUACAAAAGUAUUGCAUGAAAACUUAAAUUGGUGAACAAAGUUGAAUCCUGCUGGGUUAUGUCAGAAUGUUGGGCAUAUAUUCUUUGCCUAUUCGAGGUAUUUAUAGAUGCUAUGUAAAACUGCGUAUGGUUAUUUUCUAAUUUACGUUUAUUUUGUUAGGAAACAAAGUAAGACCUGGAACUGGAGGUGUGAAUUGGGGAGAAAAUCAUAAACAAGAUUUAUAUUCCAAGCAGCAGAGUUCAACAUAAGAUAACUUGGCCAAGAUUAAUCUAUUUGAGAAAGGAGAGAAACAGAAGAUUCUUUGCAGGUUCACGAAUUUUUCUAUGUAUUAGUUGAAGAACAUAAAAGGCUUAUUUCUCACUUGGAAGAUAUGUUUACACACUCCAGAGCCUUUCUUGGAUGGUUGUGGUUCUAAUAUUUUUAUUGUAUACUGCAACAAAAGAAGGCUUGGAAUGAUGGACUUUCAAAAGGAAUGCAUUUUUUUUGGCCACUUUGUAAAUAUGUGGGAAGCAGCCUAAGAAUGUACAUAUGUUGCAACAUAGUAUUUCUUAAUCUUUUGGAUAUGUUGUAAAAUUUUGUUCCUCAAUAGGUGAAUAUAUAGUGGAGCAUUAAUAUGUUGUGGACAUUUAAUCUUGAUAAAUGAUAGUAACAAGUAUAAAUUACUUCUUCGGCGUUGAA
Long non-coding RNA from Lycium barbarum (goji berry), 3943 nucleotides. RefSeq lists it as uncharacterized. The transcript has 9 exons. Lineage: Eukaryota; Viridiplantae; Streptophyta; Magnoliopsida; Solanales; Solanaceae. The record is from RefSeq and is a predicted model, not a curated record.